AGUGAACGCUGGCGGUAGGCCUAACACAUGCAAGUCUAACGGCAGCACAGGAGAGCUUGCUCUCUGGGUGGCGAGUGGCGGACGGGUGAGGAAUACAUCGGAAUCUACUCUGUCGUGGGGGAUAACGUAGGGAAACUUACGCUAAUACCGCAUACGACCUACGGGUGAAAGCAGGGGACCUUCGGGCCUUGCGCGAUUGAAUGAGCCGAUGUCGGAUUAGCUAGUUGGCGGGGUAAAGGCCCACCAAGGCGACGAUCCGUAGCUGGUCUGAGCGGAUGACCAGCCACACUGGAACUGAGACGCGGUCAAGACUCCUACGGGAGGCAGCAGUGGGGAAUAUUGGACAAUGGGCGCAAGCCUGAUCCAGCCAUACCGCGUGGGUGAAGAAGGCCUUCGGGUUGUAAAGCCCUUUUGUUGGGAAAGAAAUCCAGCUGGCUAAUACCCGGUUGGGAUGACGGUACCCAAAGAAUAAGCACCGGCUAACUUCGUGCCAGCCGCCGCGGUAA
This 506-nucleotide ribosomal RNA is filed under the name uncultured bacterium. RNAcentral describes it as "partial 16S ribosomal RNA". It matches the Rfam family "Bacterial small subunit ribosomal RNA", at positions 29 to 523 of the family's 1533-position model. The record is from RNAcentral.